This 253-nucleotide ribosomal RNA is filed under the name uncultured bacterium. Its description in RNAcentral is "partial 16S ribosomal RNA". It matches the Rfam family "Bacterial small subunit ribosomal RNA", at positions 524 to 776 of the family's 1533-position model. The record is from RNAcentral.
GACAGAGGGUGCAAACGUUGCUCGGAAUUACUGGGCGUAAAGCGCGUGUAGGCGGGCCGGAAAGUCGGGCGUGAAAUCCCUGGGCUCAACCCAGGAACUGCACUCGAAACUUCCGGUCUAGAGUGGUGGAGAGGGAAGUGGAAUUCCUGGUGUAGAGGUGAAAUUCGUAGAUAUCAGGAGGAACACCAGUGGCGAAGGCGGCUUCCUGGACACCAACUGACGCUGAGACGCGAAAGCGUGGGGAGCGAACAGG